RNAcentral lists this ribosomal RNA (506 nucleotides) under uncultured bacterium. RNAcentral's name for it is "partial 16S ribosomal RNA". The record is from RNAcentral.
GGAGUUAGCCGGUGCUUCUUCUGUGAGUGAUGUCCUUCCUGCCGGCUAUUAACCCGCAGGCCUUCUUCCUCACUGAAAGUGCUUUACAACCCGAAGGCCUUCUUCACACACGCGGCAUGGCUGGAUCAGGGUUGCCCCCAUUGUCCAAUAUUCCCCACUGCUGCCUCCCGUAGGAGUCUGGGCCGUGUCUCAGUCCCAGUGUGGCUGAUCAUCCUCUCAGACCAGCUACGGAUCGUCGCCUUGGUGAGCCGUUACCUCACCAACCAGCUAAUCCGACAUAGGCUCAUCCGAUAGCGCGAGGCCCGAAGGUCCCCCGCUUUCCCCCGUAGGGCGUAUGCGGUAUUAGCCUGGGUUUCCCCAGGUUAUCCCCCACUACCCGGUCAGAUUCCUAUGCAUUACUCACCCGUCCGCCGCUCGCCACCAGGGAGCAAGCUCCCCGUGCUGCCGCUCGACUUGCAUGUGUAGCUCGCCGCCACGCGUCAUCUGAGCAUGAUACAACUACUCGA